Molecule: ribosomal RNA, 680 nt
Filed under: Pseudomonas sp.
Lineage: Bacteria; Pseudomonadati; Pseudomonadota; Gammaproteobacteria; Pseudomonadales; Pseudomonadaceae
Description: bacterial SSU rRNA
Rfam family: Bacterial small subunit ribosomal RNA
Source: RNAcentral
GCAAGUCGAGCGGUAGAGAGAAGCUUGCUUCUCUUGAGAGCGGCGGACGGGUGAGUAAUGCCUAGGAAUCUGCCUGGUAGUGGGGGAUAACGUCCGGAAACGGACGCUAAUACCGCAUACGUCCUACGGGAGAAAGUGGGGGCUCUUCGGACCUCACGCUAUCAGAUGAGCCUAGGUCGGAUUAGCUAGUUGGUGAGGUAAUGGCUCACCAAGGCGACGAUCCGUAACUGGUCUGAGAGGAUGAUCAGUCACACUGGAACUGAGACACGGUCCAGACUCCUACGGGAGGCAGCAGUGGGGAAUAUUGGACAAUGGGCGAAAGCCUGAUCCAGCCAUGCCGCGUGUGUGAAGAAGGUCUUCGGAUUGUAAAGCACUUUAAGUUGGGAGGAAGGGUCGUUACCUAAUACGUGGCGAUUUUGACGUUACCGACAGAAUAAGCACCGGCUAACUCUGUGCCAGCAGCCGCGGUAAUACAGAGGGUGCAAGCGUUAAUCGGAAUUACUGGGCGUAAAGCGCGCGUAGGUGGUUUGUUAAGUUGGAUGUGAAAUCCCCGGGCUCAACCUGGGAACUGCAUCCAAAACUGGCAAGCUAGAGUAGGGCAGAGGGUGGUGGAAUUUCCUGUGUAGCGGUGAAAUGCGUAGAUAUAGGAAGGAACACCAGUGGCGAAGGCGACCACCUGG